GGAAUAUUGGACAAUGGCCGAGAGGCUGAUCCAGCCAUGCCGCGUGCGGGAGGACGGCCCUAUGGGUUGUAAACCGCUUUUGUUGGGGAGCAAUAAGGUCUACGUGUAGACUGAUGAGAGUACCCAGCGAAUAAGCAUCGGCUAACUCCGUGCCAGCAGCCGCGGUAAUACGGGGGAUACGAGCGUUAUCCGGAUUUAUUGGGUUUAAAGGGUGCGCAGGCGGACCGGUAAGUCAGGGGUGAAAAGUCGGGGCUCAACUCCGAUCGUGCCUUUGAUACUGCCGGACUGGAGUGCGAUAGGCGUGGCCGGAAUGUGGUGUGUAGCGGUGAAAUGCUUAGCUAUGCCACAGAACACCGAUCGAGAAGUCAGGUCACGAGUUCGCAACUGACGCUCAUGCACGAAAGCGUGGGGAUCAAACA
This 419-nucleotide ribosomal RNA is filed under the name uncultured bacterium. Its description in RNAcentral is "bacterial SSU rRNA". It matches the Rfam family "Bacterial small subunit ribosomal RNA", at positions 358 to 774 of the family's 1533-position model. The record is from RNAcentral.